AAUAAGCGGAGGAAAAGAAACCAACAGGGAUUGCCCCAGUAACGGCGAGUGAAGCGGCAACAGCUCAAAUUUGAAAUCUGGUCCUUACGGGCCCGAGUUGUAAUUUGUAGAGGAUGCUUUUGGUGAGGCGCCGCCUGAGUUCCCUGGAACGGGACGCCAUAGAGGGUGAGAGCCCCGUCUGGCUGGAUGCCGAGCCUCUGUAAAGCUCCUUCGACGAGUCGAGUAGUUUGGGAAUGCUGCUCAAAAUGGGAGGUAUAUGUCUUCUAAAGCUAAAUAUUGGCCAGAGACCGAUAGCGCACAAGUAGAGUGAUCGAAAGAUGAAAAGCACUUUGAAAAGAGGGUUAAAUAGUACGUGAAAUUGUUGAAAGGGAAGCGCUCAUGACCAGACUUGGGCUUGGCGAAUCAUCCGGCGUUCUCGCCGGUGCACUUCGCCUCGUCCAGGCCAGCAUCAGUUCGCUUCGGGGGAUAAAGGCUUUGGGAACGUGGCUCCUCCGGGAGUGUUAUAGCCCAUUGUGUAAUACCCUGAGGUGGACUGAGGUUCGCGCUCCGCAAGGAUGCUGGCGUAAUGGUCAUCAGCGACCCGUCUUGAAACACGGACCAAGGAGUCGUCUUCGUAUGCGAGUGUUCGGGUGUCAAACCCCUACGCGUAAUGAAAGUGAACGCAGGUGAGAGCUUCGGCGCAUCAUCGACCGAUCCUGAUGUUCUCGGAUGGAUUUGAGUAAGAGCAUACGGGGCCGGACCCGAAAGAAGGUGAACUAUGCCUGUAUAGGGUGAAGCCAGAGGAAACUCUGGUGGAGGCUCGCAGCGGUUCUGACGUGCAAAUCGAUCGUCAAAUAUGGGCAUGGGGGCGAAAGACUAAUCGAACCUUCUAGUAGCUGGUUUCCGCC
This 887-nucleotide ribosomal RNA is filed under the name Hypomyces semitranslucens. RNAcentral describes it as "LSU rRNA". It matches the Rfam family "Eukaryotic large subunit ribosomal RNA", at positions 45 to 962 of the family's 3401-position model. The record is from RNAcentral. Lineage: Eukaryota; Fungi; Ascomycota; Sordariomycetes; Hypocreales; Hypocreaceae.